This 515-nucleotide ribosomal RNA is filed under the name uncultured bacterium. Its description in RNAcentral is "partial 16S ribosomal RNA". It matches the Rfam family "Bacterial small subunit ribosomal RNA", at positions 28 to 523 of the family's 1533-position model. The record is from RNAcentral.
GAUGAACGCUGGCGGCGUGCCUAAUACAUGCAAGUCGAGCGAAUGGAUUAAGAGCUCGCUCUUAUGAAGUUAGCGGCGGACGGGUGAGUAACACGUGGGUAACCUGCCCAUAAGACUGGGAUAACUCCGGGAAACCGGGGCUAAUACCGGAUAACAUUUUGAACCGCAUGGUUCGAAAUUGAAAGGCGGCUUCGGCUGUCAAUUAUGGAUGGACCCGCGUCGCAUUAGCUAGUUGGUGAGGUAACGGCUCACCAAGGCAACGAUGCGUAGCCGACCUGAGAGGGUGAUCGGCCACACUGGGACUGAGACACGGCCCAGACUCCUACGGGAGGCAGCAGUAGGGAAUCUUCCGCAAUGGACGAAAGUCUGACGGAGCAACGCCGCGUGAGUGAUGAAGGCUUUCGGGUCGUAAAUCUCUGUUGUUAGGGAAGAACAAGUGCUAGUUGAAUAAGCUGGCACCUUGACGGUACCUAACCAGAAAGCCACGGCUAACUACGUGCCAGCAGCCGCGGUAA